UAAAAAAGACUCAGCAGCAUUUCUAACAGCACAAUGGAGGAUCCAGAGCCAUCUUGUGAUCAGGAACAGUGAGAAUUUUCUCUGCUUCCAGCUGAUGCUCCUCCUAAAUAGCUGAAAGGAAGGAAAACUCUUCUACAAAGUGGGAAGGUGGAAGAAAGAAAUCAUGAGGGGGAAGAAUCCCCCAUCAUUUAAAAGUGUUGCAGCUACCUGUUUUCCCUGAAAAACUGCCUCUGAGUUGAAGAACCUUUGGGAUAUGGUAGCAUCAGGACUUGCUUCUAGAUAAGGGAAUAUACAAGGUGGUCCUCGAAUUAUGACCCCACUUGAGC
This is a long non-coding RNA of Thamnophis elegans (Western terrestrial garter snake), 326 nucleotides long. RefSeq lists it as uncharacterized. The record is from RefSeq and is a predicted model, not a curated record. The transcript is spliced from 3 exons. NCBI's taxonomy places the organism in Eukaryota, Metazoa, Chordata, Lepidosauria, Squamata, Natricidae.